Molecule: transfer RNA, 87 nt
Filed under: Salmonella enterica subsp. enterica serovar Dublin
Lineage: Bacteria; Pseudomonadati; Pseudomonadota; Gammaproteobacteria; Enterobacterales; Enterobacteriaceae
Description: tRNA-Ser
Rfam family: tRNA
About the family: Transfer RNA (tRNA) molecules are approximately 80 nucleotides in length. Their secondary structure includes four short double-helical elements and three loops (D, anti-codon, and T loops).
Source: RNAcentral
GGAAGUGUGGCCGAGCGGUUGAAGGCACCGGUCUUGAAAACCGGCGACCCGAAAGGGUUCCAGAGUUCGAAUCUCUGCGCUUCCGCC